GAAGCACUGUUUAAGACUAAUGUUUGUAGUGAAGUCACAGUGAGAGCAUGUUCUUUCUGAUGCAAACACACCCACCUCCUGCCCUCGUGUCCUGCAGGCUGACCUGAGAGCCAGCUGCAUAGCUCAAGCCACAAAGGAACCUAGUUUUUGGAAAGGGUUCAAUGUUUAUGUGGCAGUGCUGAGAACUCUGAAUAUGUUUCCAUCAUAUUCAAAGUAUUGCUACUCUCUGGAUACCUCAGGGUAAUUUCUGACAUUAUGACAAAUAUAAAAACCUGAACGGCUGAACUUCUCUCCCUCCGCUGGCUUCCAUGAUGCACCUGCUCCCUAGUUUUCUUCUGGCCUCUGUGGCUGCUUCACUUCAUUAUCCUUGAUGGUUCCUCUUCCUCCAGUCAUGGCUGAAAUAUUUUUCCUGGCCCGAUCCUCUCUCUAAACAGUCUCUCUGGGAUCCUAUCACAGCUUCAGCUGCCAGUGAUGACUUCAGCAUGUCCACCUUGAGCCAAGAGAACUUCAAAAUCAAGUACGUAUUUUCCCACUGGACAUCUCUUCUCAUGCCCCAUAGGGACCUCAAGCACAACAUGCCCAACACUCACACUGUCCUCCUUCUGCAUUCCCUUGUCCCUCCUUCUGCAUUCCCUUGUCCCUCCUUCUGUAUUCCCAAAUGUCCCUCCUUCUGUAUUCCCAAAUGUCCCUCCUUCUGUAUUCCCAAAUGUCCCUCCUGUAUUCCCAAAUGUCCCUCCUUCUGUAUUCCCAAAUGUUCCUCCUUCUGUAUUCCCAAAUGUCCCUCCUUCUGUAUUCCCAAAUGUCUCUCCUUCUGUAUUCCCUUGUCCCUCCUUCUGUAUU
Molecule: long non-coding RNA, 840 nt
Filed under: Homo sapiens (human)
Lineage: Eukaryota; Metazoa; Chordata; Mammalia; Primates; Hominidae
Description: HSALNT0323951
Source: RNAcentral